UACGUAGGAAGCAAGCGUUGUUCGGAAUUACUGGGCGUAAAGAGUGUGUAGGCGGUGUUCUAAGUUUGUCGUGAAAUCUCCCGGCUUAACUGGGAGGGUGCGGCGAAAACUGGAAUGCUAGAGGAUGGGAGAGGUAAGCGGAAUUCCUGGUGUAGCGGUGAAAUGCGUAGAUAUGUGGAGGAACACCUGUGGCGAAGGCAGUGGUCUGGGCCGGAACUGACGCUGAAUAGCGAAAGCGUGGGGAGCGAACAGG
Molecule: ribosomal RNA, 253 nt
Filed under: uncultured bacterium
Lineage: Bacteria
Description: partial 16S ribosomal RNA
Rfam family: Bacterial small subunit ribosomal RNA
Source: RNAcentral